UACGGACGGAGACUUUCAAUUUUUUUUAGGUGAAACUCAAGCUAAAUGGAACUUUCGUGGUUUGCAUAUUAAUUUAAGAAAUUCUUUCAGAACAGACUAAAUUAUUUCAUGGCGUGCAGAAUUUCCCACAGUUAAAAAACUUAAAAGCCAUGAGAUAUCGCGAAAAUUGGUACAAUUGCAGAUGAGAUAGUUGAAUGAACGUGUUGAUGUACAAAUACCUUAGCACGUAAUUCAUUUCUUCUCUUCCACCGUUAUGGCUCGGACGCUAUUAAUGCUCUUAAUAAUCCGUGCUCCAGGCAGUCGUUUUGAAGUUUUGAGAUGUGAUAUGUACGUAGUUGUGGAACCUCAAGUUCUUUUAUGAGGGUUCUAACAGCAAGUGAAAUCGCCUCAGACACAACAGGAGGUAUUUGGAAAUGCAACUUGUAGAAUUUGCCAUUGUUUGGGAUCAUAUGGGAAAGACGUGCAAGGGCCUGCAGUGAAUAUCUUCUUUGUGUAAGGGAUACUUCAUCCAUUGACAGUACUAGUGUGUCCAUCCUCUUCUUGGUCAGCUUUGAACAUUUUAUGACAACCAUUUGUUUAAGUCGUAGUGCAAGUAAGUCUAUACUGUAUGUAUGUAUAUUCUCACUCAUGGAGCUGAGCCCUUCUUGAGAAGCUGUCAAUUGUACGCAUACU
Cryptotermes secundus is the source of this 672-nucleotide long non-coding RNA. RefSeq lists it as uncharacterized. NCBI's taxonomy places the organism in Eukaryota, Metazoa, Arthropoda, Insecta, Blattodea, Kalotermitidae. The transcript is spliced from 3 exons. The record is from RefSeq and is a predicted model, not a curated record.